This 468-nucleotide ribosomal RNA is filed under the name uncultured bacterium. RNAcentral's name for it is "partial 16S ribosomal RNA". It matches the Rfam family "Bacterial small subunit ribosomal RNA", at positions 28 to 507 of the family's 1533-position model. The record is from RNAcentral.
GACGAACGCUGGCGGCGUGCUUAACACAUGCAAGUCGAACGGAAAGGCCCUGCUUUUGUGCGGUGCUCGAGUGGCGAACGGGUAAGUAACACGUAAGUAACCUGCCCUUGACUGUGGGGUAACUUCAGAAAACUGGGGCUAUUACCGGCUAGGAGUUCCUGCUGCAUGGUGGGGGUUGGAAAGUUUCGGCGGUUGGGGAUGGACUCGCGUCUUAUCAGGUUGUUGGUGGGGUAGUGGCUUACCAAGGCCUUGACGGGUAGCCGUCCUGAGAGGGUGAGCGGCCAGAUUGGGCUUGAGAUACGGCCCAGCCUCCUCCCGGAGGCAGGAGUGGGGAAUAUUGUACAAUGCGAUGAACGAUGAUGUAGUAAAGCAACGUCCGGGGUGUCGGCCAUCGGUUUGUAAUCCGCUUUCGCCUGAGCCGGAGCGUUAGUGACAGUAACGGGUAAAGAAGCACCGGCUAACUCCGUG